GGGUUGUGAGGUUAAGCGACUAAGCGUACACGGUGGAUGCCCUGGCAGUCAGAGGCGAUGAAGGACGUGCUAAUCUGCGAUAAGCGUCGGUAAGGUGAUAUGAACCGUUAUAACCGGCGAUUUCCGAAUGGGGAAACCCAGUGUGAUUCGUCACACUAUCAUUAACUGAAUCCAUAGGUUAAUGAGGCGAACCGGGGGAACUGAAACAUCUAAGUACCCCGAGGAAAAGAAAUCAACCGAGAUUCCCCCAGUAGCGGCGAGCGAACGGGGAGCAGCCCAGAGCCUGAAUCAGUGUGUGUGUUAGUGGAAGCGUCUGGAAAGGCGCGCGAUACAGGGUGACAGCCCCGUACACAAAAAUGCACAUGCUGUGAGCUCGAUGAGUAGGGCGGGACACGUGGUAUCCUGUCUGAAUAUGGGGGGACCAUCCUCCAAGGCUAAAUACUCCUGACUGACCGAUAGUGAACCAGUACCGUGAGGGAAAGGCGAAAAGAACCCCGGCGAGGGGAGUGAAAAAGAACCUGAAACCGUGUACGUACAAGCAGUGGGAGCACGCUUAGGCGUGUGACUGCGUACCUUUUGUAUAAUGGGUCAGCGACUUAUAUUCUGUAGCAAGGUUAACCGAAUAGGGGAGCCGAAGGGGAAACCGAGUCUUAACUGGGCGUUAAGUUGCAGGGUAUAGACCCGAAACCCGGUGAUCUAGCCAUGGGCAGGUUGAAGGUUGGGUAACACUAACUGGAGGACCGAACCGACUAAUGUUGAAAAAUUAGCGGAUGACUUGUGGCUGGGGGUGAAAGGCCAAUCAAACCGGGAGAUAGCUGGUUCUCCCCGAAAGCUAUUUAGGUAGCGCCUCGUGAAUUCAUCUCCGGGGGUAGAGCACUGUUUCGGCAAGGGGGUCAUCCCGACUUACCAACCCGAUGCAAACUGCGAAUACCGGAGAAUGUUAUCACGGGAGACACACGGCGGGUGCUAACGUCCGUCGUGAAGAGGGAAACAACCCAGACCGCCAGCUAAGGUCCCAAAGUCAUGGUUAAGUGGGAAACGAUGUGGGAAGGCCCAGACAGCCGGGAUGUUGGCUUAGAAGCAGCCAUCAUUUAAAGAAAGCGUAAUAGCUCACUGGUCGAGUCGGCCUGCGCGGAAGAUGUAACGGGGCUAAACCAUGCACCGAAGCUGCGGCAGCGACGCUUAUGCGUUGUUGGGUAGGGGAGCGUUCUGUAAGCCUGUGAAGGUGUACUGUGAGGUAUGCUGGAGGUAUCAGAAGUGCGAAUGCUGACAUAAGUAACGAUAAAGCGGGUGAAAAGCCCGCUCGCCGGAAGACCAAGGGUUCCUGUCCAACGUUAAUCGGGGCAGGGUGAGUCGACCCCUAAGGCGAGGCCGAAAGGCGUAGUCGAUGGGAAACAGGUUAAUAUUCCUGUACUUGGUGUUACUGCGAAGGGGGGACGGAGAAGGCUAUGUUGGCCGGGCGACGGUUGUCCCGGUUUAAGCGUGUAGGCUGGUUUUCCGGCAAAUCCGGAAAAUCAAGGCUGAGGCGUGAUGACGAGGCACUACGGUGCUGAAGCAACAAAUGCCCUGCUUCCGGGAAAAGCCUCUAAGCAUCAGGUAACAUCAAAUCGUACCCCAAACCGACACAGGUGGUCAGGUAGAGAAUACCAAGGCGCUUGAGAGAACUCGGGUGAAGGAACUAGGCAAAAUGGUGCCGUAACUUCGGGAGAAGGCACGCUGAUAUGUAGGUGAAGUCCCUCGCGGAUGGAGCUGAAAUCAGUCGAAGAUACCAGCUGGCUGCAACUGUUUAUUAAAAACACAGCACUGUGCAAACACGAAAGUGGACGUAUACGGUGUGACGCCUGCCCGGUGCCGGAAGGUUAAUUGAUGGGGUUAGCGCAAGCGAAGCUCUUGAUCGAAGCCCCGGUAAACGGCGGCCGUAACUAUAACGGUCCUAAGGUAGCGAAAUUCCUUGUCGGGUAAGUUCCGACCUGCACGAAUGGCGUAAUGAUGGCGGGCUGUCUCCACCCGAGACUCAGUGAAAUUGAACUCGCUGUGAAGAUGCAGUGUACCCGCGGCAAGACGGAAAGACCCCGUGAACCUUUACUAUAGCUUGACACUGAACAUUGAGCCUUGAUGUGUAGGAUAGGUGGGAGGCUUUGAAGUGUGGACGCCAGUCUGCAUGGAGCCGACCUUGAAAUACCACCCUUUAAUGUUUGAUGUUCUAACGUUGACCCGUAAUCCGGGUUGCGGACAGUGUCUGGUGGGUAGUUUGACUGGGGCGGUCUCCUCCUAAAGAGUAACGGAGGAGCACGAAGGUUGGCUAAUCCUGGUCGGACAUCAGGAGGUUAGUGCAAUGGCAUAAGCCAGCUUGACUGCGAGCGUGACGGCGCGAGCAGGUGCGAAAGCAGGUCAUAGUGAUCCGGUGGUUCUGAAUGGAAGGGCCAUCGCUCAACGGAUAAAAGGUACUCCGGGGAUAACAGGCUGAUACCGCCCAAGAGUUCAUAUCGACGGCGGUGUUUGGCACCUCGAUGUCGGCUCAUCACAUCCUGGGGCUGAAGUAGGUCCCAAGGGUAUGGCUGUUCGCCAUUUAAAGUGGUACGCGAGCUGGGUUUAGAACGUCGUGAGACAGUUCGGUCCCUAUCUGCCGUGGGCGCUGGAGAAUUGAGGGGGGCUGCUCCUAGUACGAGAGGACCGGAGUGGACGCAUCACUGGUGUUCGGGUUGUCAUGCCAAUGGCACUGCCCGGUAGCUAAAUGCGGAAGAGAUAAGUGCUGAAAGCAUCUAAGCACGAAACUUGCCCCGAGAUGAGUUCUCCCUGACUCCUUGAGAGUCCUGAAGGAACGUUGAAGACGACGACGUUGAUAGGCCGGGUGUGUAAGCGCAGCGAUGCGUUGAGCUAACCGGUACUAAUGAACCGUGAGGCUUAACCUUACAACGCCGAAGGUGUUU
RNAcentral lists this ribosomal RNA (2930 nucleotides) under Escherichia coli. RNAcentral's name for it is "23S ribosomal RNA". It matches the Rfam family "Bacterial large subunit ribosomal RNA". Lineage: Bacteria; Pseudomonadati; Pseudomonadota; Gammaproteobacteria; Enterobacterales; Enterobacteriaceae. The record is from RNAcentral.